GUUAUCAAUGUUAUGACUGACAGUAAUGUUCAAUAAUUACCGUGCUUGUUAUCUCUACUCCAGUAGGAUUUAUAAUUCGUGGAUAGAGUGAACUAUGAUGUCCAGUAAAUGGCUUUGAUUCCGAAUAAUAGUGAUAAUCAAACGUUAACAAGUUCAAAUAAUCAACGCUCUGGAAUGAAAAUAAGCGAUGUCAGGAUGUGCGGAGACUGUGGCGGUUAAUAAGGUGUCCAAUUUACCUUUUCGUAAACAUUCUUUUCGAGUCAGCUAUAAAACAACGAAGAAAUACUGAUUUUCAAUUUUUGAAAUGAAGUCAUUUGACUCUCUUGAAAUCGUUACAUUACCUUUAGUAACGAAACCAAAUCACUUUUAGAUUCUUGAUAUUUAGUCUCAUUCUGAUGUAAACGGAAAAAAUCGACACCGUCAAGAUUGUAUAGACUGACUAAAUCAAUCAAUGAACCAACAAAUUGAUUCCUUUUUUCUUCAGCUGCCAAAAUAUUGAACUCGUUCAUGGAAUUGACUUUAGACUGGCCCAUACGAAUGGAUAGCAAAAUUUUUAAAUUAGGGUUCUUUUUCUUUAAGAUUUCAUGCUAACUUUUCAGUAUUACUCUCAGGAUGUUGGAACCAAAGCAAACUUUCUGGACCAAUUAAAGCAUGGCCAACUAUUAUGUGAUCACAAAGAGCGGGAUCGAUCUUGCU
Molecule: non-coding RNA, 696 nt
Organism: Tetranychus urticae (two-spotted spider mite)
Lineage: Eukaryota; Metazoa; Arthropoda; Arachnida; Trombidiformes; Tetranychidae
Source: RefSeq, a predicted model, not a curated record